GACGAACGCUGGCGGCGUGCUUAACACAUGCAAGUCGAACGGAAAGGCCCUGCUUUUGUGGGGUGCUCGAGUGGCGAACGGGUGAGUAACACGUGAGUAACCUGCCCUUGACUUUGGGAUAACUUCAGGAAACUGGGGCUAAUACCGGAUAGGAGCUCCUGCUGCAUGGUGGGGGUUGGAAAGUUUCGGCGGUUGGGGAUGGACUCGCGGCUUAUCAGCUUGUUGGUGGGGUAGUGGCUUACCAAGGCUUUGACGGGUAGCCGGCCUGAGAGGGUGACCGGCCACAUAGGGAUGAGGGAACGGCCAGGGCGCCAACGGGGGGAAGGGGGGGAGAAUUUGGCAAAAGGGGCGGAGGGGUUGUGGAAGAACGCCGGGUGGGGAAGGCCGGCUUUGGGGUUAGAAACGGCUUUGGCUUGUAACGAGCGGUUAUGACGGUAAAUGGAGAAAAAAGCCCGGCUAAAUUCGUG
This 467-nucleotide ribosomal RNA is filed under the name uncultured bacterium. RNAcentral describes it as "partial 16S ribosomal RNA". It matches the Rfam family "Bacterial small subunit ribosomal RNA", at positions 28 to 507 of the family's 1533-position model. The record is from RNAcentral.